Molecule: non-coding RNA, 21 nt
Organism: Caenorhabditis elegans
Lineage: Eukaryota; Metazoa; Nematoda; Chromadorea; Rhabditida; Rhabditidae
Source: Ensembl
UCCGAAAAAUCGAUUAUGGAC